This 272-nucleotide long non-coding RNA is filed under the name Elaeis guineensis (African oil palm). RNAcentral describes it as "long non-coding RNA (EGUI_LNC071299)". The record is from RNAcentral. Lineage: Eukaryota; Viridiplantae; Streptophyta; Magnoliopsida; Arecales; Arecaceae.
GGGUUAAACUGUCAACCCUUAUUAGAUCAUCCGAGUCGUGCUCAACUCAAUCAGUCCUGUGACUCCUCACUAGGACUACCCUGGCCAAGAUUUUGCUAAAUUGAAAUACGACUAUACACGGCUCCUGAACUGGAGUAGUCAAUCCCAUCUUGACACAUGCACCAACAAGUCAAGUACUUGACUACACCCAGCAGCCUUCCAUCACUGAAUUAGAAAUUCAGGAAGUCCAGUGCCUAAGUGCAGUGAGUUGCUUGCAAGUCAUCGUGGUGGUC